GACGAACGCUGGCGGCGUGCUUAACACAUGCAAGUCGAACGGAAAGGCCCUGCUUUUGUGUGUUGCUCGAGUGGCGAACGGGUGAGUAACACGUGAGUAACCUGCCCUUGACUUUGGGAUAACUUCAGGAAACUGGGGCUCAUACCGGAUAUGAGCUCCUGCUGCAUGGUGGGGGUUGGAAAGUUUCGGCGGUUGUGGAUGGACUCGCGGCUUAUGAGCUUGUUUGUGGAGUAGUUACUUACCAAGGGUUAGACGGGUAGCCGGCCUGAGAGGGUGACCGGCGACAAGGCGACUGAGAGACGGAGCAGAAGCGUACGGGAGGCAGCAGGGGAGAAUAUGGCAGAAUGGGCGGGAGCGAGAGGCAGCAACGUUGCGAGCGGGAUAACGGGUUACGGGGUAUAAACAGAUUUCGAAGGUGACGAAGAGUGAGUGACGGUAAUGGGUAAAGAAGCACCGGCUAACUACGUG
RNAcentral lists this ribosomal RNA (468 nucleotides) under uncultured bacterium. RNAcentral describes it as "partial 16S ribosomal RNA". It matches the Rfam family "Bacterial small subunit ribosomal RNA", at positions 28 to 507 of the family's 1533-position model. The record is from RNAcentral.